RNAcentral lists this ribosomal RNA (492 nucleotides) under uncultured bacterium. Its description in RNAcentral is "partial 16S ribosomal RNA". It matches the Rfam family "Bacterial small subunit ribosomal RNA", at positions 29 to 507 of the family's 1533-position model. The record is from RNAcentral.
AGUGAACGCCGGCGGUAGGCCUAACACAUGCAAGUCGAACGGCAGCACAGUAAGAGCUUGCUCUUACGGGUGGCGAGUGGCGGACGGGUGAGGAAUACAUCGGAAUCUACUUUUUCGUGGGGGAUAACGUAGGGAAACUUACGCUAAUACCGCAUACGACCUACGGGUGAAAGCAGUGGAUCUUCGGACCUUGCGCGAUUGAAUGAGCCGAUGUCGGAUUAGCUAGUUGGCGGGGUAAAGGCCCACCAAGGCGACGAUCCGUAGCUGGUCUGAGAGGAUGAUCAGCCACACUGGAACUGAGACACGGUCCAGACUCCUACGGGAGGCAGCAGUGGGGAAUAUUGGACAAUGGGCGCAAGCCUGAUCCAGCCAUACCGCGUGGGUGAAGAAGGCCUUCGGGUUGUAAAGCCCUUUUGUUGGGAAAGAAAAGCAGCAGGUUAAUACCCCGCUGUUCUGACGGUACCCAAAGAAUAAGCACCGGCUAACUUCGUG